GAUGAACGCUAGCGGCAGGCUUAAUACAUGCAAGUCGUGGGGCAGCAGCUCUGUAGCAAUACAGAGGCUGGCGACCGGCAAACGGGUGCGGAACACGUACGCAACUUACCCAUAACUGGUGAAUAGCCCUCCGAAAGGAGGAUUAAUACAUCGUAACAUAAUGAGAUGGCAUCAUUUUAUUAUUAUAGCUCCGGCGGUUAUGGAUGGGCGUGCGGCNGAUUAGGUAGUUGGCGGAGUAAUAGCCCACCAAGCCUACGAUCAGUAACUGGGU
This 271-nucleotide ribosomal RNA is filed under the name uncultured bacterium. RNAcentral's name for it is "partial 16S ribosomal RNA". It matches the Rfam family "Bacterial small subunit ribosomal RNA", at positions 28 to 292 of the family's 1533-position model. The record is from RNAcentral.